Molecule: ribosomal RNA, 167 nt
Filed under: uncultured bacterium
Lineage: Bacteria
Description: partial 16S ribosomal RNA
Rfam family: Bacterial small subunit ribosomal RNA
Source: RNAcentral
GCUAGUAAUCGCAGAUCAGAAUGCUGCGGUGAAUACGUUCCCGGGUCUUGUACACACCGCCCGUCACACCAUGGGAGUCGGAUAUGCCCGAAGCCAGUGACCCAACCGUAAGGAGGGAGCUGUCGAAGGUGGAGCCGAUAACUGGGGUGAAGUCGUAACAAGGUACC